RNAcentral lists this ribosomal RNA (681 nucleotides) under uncultured archaeon. RNAcentral's name for it is "bacterial SSU rRNA". It matches the Rfam family "Archaeal small subunit ribosomal RNA", at positions 321 to 1001 of the family's 1478-position model. The record is from RNAcentral.
CCCUACGGGGUGCAGCAGGCGCGGAACCUUUCCAAUGCGCGAAAGCGUGAGAAGGGAAUCCUAAGUGCCAAUACUAAGUAUUGGCUUUUGCCAUAUGUAAAUAGUAUGGCGAAUAAGUAGUGGGCAAGACUGGUGCCAGCCGCCGCGGUAACACCAGCGCUACAAGUGGCAAUCGCGUUUAUUGGGCCUAAAGCGUCCGUAGCCGGUUUGUCAAAUCUUCUGUGAAAUCGCUCAGCUUAACUGAACGGCGUGCAGAAGAGACUGGCAAACUUGGGACCAGGAGGGGUUAGGAGUAUUCCAGGGGGAGCGGUAAAAUGCUAUAAUCCCUGGAGGACUACCAGUGGCGAAGGCGCCUAACCAGAAUGGAUCCGACGGUGAGGGACGAAAGCCAGGGGAGCAAUCCGGAUUAGAUACCCGAGUAGUCCUGGCUGUAAACUCUGCGAGCUAGGUGUUGCAUAUUCUACAUGGAUAUGCAGUGUCGGAGCGAAGGUGUUAAGCUCGCCGCCUGGGAAGUAUGGUCGCAAGACUGAAACUUAAAGGAAUUGGCGGGGGGAGCACCACAAGGGGUGCGGCGUGCGGUUUAAUUGAAUUCAACGCCGGAGAUCUCACCAGAUGCGACGGCAGGAUGAAAGGUCACGCUGAAGACCUUACUUGACAAGCCGAGAAGAAGUGCAUGGCCAA